RNAcentral lists this ribosomal RNA (255 nucleotides) under uncultured bacterium. RNAcentral's name for it is "partial 16S ribosomal RNA". It matches the Rfam family "Bacterial small subunit ribosomal RNA", at positions 99 to 354 of the family's 1533-position model. The record is from RNAcentral.
CGGACGGGUGAGUAACGCGUGGGGAACCUGCCCUGUACAGGGGGAUAACACUUAGAAAUAGGUGCUAAUACCGCAUAAGCGCACAGUAUCGCAUGAUACAGUGUGAAAAACUCCGGUGGUACAGGAUGGACCCGCGUCUGAUUAGCUGGUUGGCGGGGUAACGGCCCACCAAGGCGACGAUCAGUAGCCGGCCUGAGAGGGUGAACGGCCACAUUGGGACUGAGACACGGCCCAAACUCCUACGGGAGGCAGCAG